UCUUUCCAUCUUUUGUUGGAAUAUGUUGAAGCAUUGGUUUGAUGUAAUAUUUAUCCCUAAACAGGCAUCAACACUAUUCUGAGCUGCUGACGUCUGGUCAGAACCGGAGUAUCCACUCUUU
Cyprinus carpio (common carp) is the source of this 121-nucleotide long non-coding RNA. Lineage: Eukaryota; Metazoa; Chordata; Actinopteri; Cypriniformes; Cyprinidae. The record is from Ensembl.